This 230-nucleotide ribosomal RNA is filed under the name uncultured bacterium. RNAcentral describes it as "partial 16S ribosomal RNA". It matches the Rfam family "Bacterial small subunit ribosomal RNA", at positions 567 to 791 of the family's 1533-position model. The record is from RNAcentral.
AAAGACGUGCGCAGGCGGUUAUGUAAGACAGAUGUGAAAUCCCCGGCUCAACCUGGGAACUGCAUUUGUGACUGCAUGGCUAGAGUACGGUAGAGGGGGAUGGAAUUCCGCGUGUAGCAGUGAAAUGCGUAGAUAUGCGGAGGAACACCGAUGGCGAAGGCAAUCCCCUGGACCUGUACUGACGCUCAUGCACGAAAGCGUGGGGAGCAAACAGGAUUAGAUACCCUGGU